RNAcentral lists this long non-coding RNA (2595 nucleotides) under Homo sapiens (human). RNAcentral describes it as "HSALNT0104164". The record is from RNAcentral. Lineage: Eukaryota; Metazoa; Chordata; Mammalia; Primates; Hominidae.
AGGGUGUUGUCACUCUCUAGCAGGAAAUAGCCUAUCCAGCCUGGGGCUAUUUGUCGUUCCAAGCUCGGUGUGUUUCCUCCUCGGUAGUAUAUCUGCUGGCAUCUUCAUGUGCAAAAGACACUGGUUGUCAAUGAGGUCUGGGAGCAAGCAAAGCAGUCGUCUCAAUUACCCCUAUGGGAACAGUGGUAGGCUUGGGGGACCGUUGUCCUAGACGGUCACAUGGGGCAGGCGUCCCUGCUUUGGCUGAAUUUAAAGAAAUAAAGGUUGGAGAUAACACAUUCAUCUGCCUAUGCAAGGGACAGUAUCUAAAUAAUCCACUUGCCAAUCUGUUACAUGGUGGACAGCCUUCUGAAUAUCUGAAUGUGUCCUGCUCAAUAUGAUCUACAAUAGAGAACAUGAUGAGCACCCAAUACCAUAAGACAUUACUGCAAACCAAAACAACAUGGUACUGGUACAAGAACAGACACAUACACCAGUGGAACAGAAUAGAAAACACAGAAAUAAGACCACGCACCCACGACUAUCUGAUCUUCAACAAACCUGACGAAAGCAAACAAUGGGGAAAGAAUUCCCUGUUCAAUAAACGGUGCUGGGAUAACAGGCUAGCCAUAUGCAAACAAUUCAAACUGGACCCCUUCUUUACACCUUACACAAAAAUUAACUCACGAUGGAUUAAAGACUUAAAUGUAAAACCCAAAACUAUAAAACCCUGGAAGACAACCUAGGUAAUACCAUUCAGGACAUAGGCAUGGGCAAAAAUUUCAUGACGAAGAUUCUGAAAGCAAUUGCAACAAAAGGAAAAAUUGAAAAUGGGAUUUAACUAAACGAAAGAGCUUCUGCACAGCAAAAGAAACUAUCAACAGAGUAAACAGACAACCUACAGAAUGGGAGAAAAUUUUUGCAAACUAUGCAUCUGACAAAGGGCUCAUAUUCAGCAUCUAUAAGGAACUUAAACAAAUUUAUUUUAAAAAAGCAAACAAUUCCAUCAAAAAGUGGACAAAGGACAUGAACAGACACUUCCCAAAAGAAGACAUACAUGUGGCCAACAAACAUAUUUUAAAAAGCUAAACAUCAUUGAUUAUUAGAGAAACGCAUAUCAAAACCACAAUGAUAUUGUGCCAUUGCACUCCAGCCUGGGCAAUAAGAGCGAAACUCCAUCUCAAAACAAACAAACAAAAACCCACAAUAAGAUAUCAUCUCACGCCAGUCAGAACAGCUAUUAUUAAAAAGUCAAAAAAUAAAAGAUGCUGGCGAGGUUGUGGAGAAAAAAGAAUGCUUAUACACUGUUGGUGGGAGUAUAAAUUAGUUCAGUCAUUGUGGAAGACACUGUGGUGAUUCUUCAAAGACUUAAAGACAGAUACCAUCUGAUCCAGCAAUCCCAUUACUGGGUAUAUACCCAAAGGAAUAUAAAUCAUUCUGUUAUAAAAGCACAUGGACGUGGCCAGGCACGGUGGCUCAUGCCUGUAAUCCCAUCACUUUGGGAGGCUGAGGCAGGUGGAUCACCUGAGGUCAGGAGUUCGAGACCAGGCUGACCAAUAUGGAGAAACCCCUGUCUCUACUAAAAAUACAAGAUUAUAUGGGCGUGGCGCCACAUGCCUGUAAUCCCAGCUACUGGGGUGGCUGAGGCAGGAGAAUCGCUUGAUCCCGGGAGGCAGAGGUUGCAGUGAGCUGAGAUCGCACCAUUGCACUCUAGCCUCGGCAACAAGAGCAAAACUCCAUCUCAAAAAAAAAAAAAAAUGCAUGCAUGUGUUCAUUGCAGUGGUAUUCACAAUAGCAAAGACAUGGAAUCAACCUAAAUGCCCAUCAGCGAUAGACUGGAUAAAGAAAAUGUGGUAUAUAUACAUCAUGGACUACUAUGCAGUCAUACAAAAAGAACAACAUCAUGUCCUUUGCAGGGACAUGGAUGGAGCUGGAGGCCAUUAUUCUUAGCAAACUAAUGCAGGAACAGAAAACCAAAUACCGCAUGUUCUCGCUUAUAAGUAGAAGCUAAAUGAUGAGAACACAGGGACACAUAGAGGGGAACAACACCCACUGGGGCCUAUCAGAGGGUGGAGGGUGGGAGGAGGGAGAGGAUCAGGAAAAAUAACUAAUGGGUACUAGGCUUAAUAGCUGGGUGACGAAAUAACCUGUACAAAAAAACCCCCAUGACACACAUUUACUUAUGUAACAAACCUGCAUAUGAACCCCCGAACUUAAAAUAAAAGUUAAAAAAAGAAAAGCCAUGGCUGCAGCACAGUAAAAGCUUCAGCGGCUGACAUAAUGCCAACAAGAUAACAAAACUAGAAGAAAAGACGGGAAUGCGAAAAAAGACAAGACUCUUUCAUGGGCUUUGUGCUGGGUGGAUAAUAGUUGCACUUAUUGGGAGGAUAAUAAUUGCACUUAUUUCAGCAUACCCCCUGGACAAUAUGAAUCAUUUAAUGUUGACAACGCCAUGUAGGGGCAGGAAGUUGUAGGGGCUCCCAUUUUCUUCCUCUCUCAAGAACAGUCUUCACGGAGUGCCUGCGAUUGCAGGCACGCGCCGCCACGCCUGACUGGUUUUCGUAUUUUUUUUGGUGGAGAUGGGGUUUCGCUGUGUUGGCGGGGCCGGUCUCCAGC